CCUACGGGAGGCAGCAGUGAGGAAUAUUGGUCAAUGGACGAGAGUCUGAACCAGCCAAGUAGCGUGAAGGAUGACUGCCCUAUGGGUUGUAAACUUCUUUUAUAUGGGAAUAAAAUGUUCCACGUGUGGGAUUUUGUAUGUACCAUAUGAAUAAGGAUCGGCUAACUCCGUGCCAGCAGCCGCGGUAAUACGGAGGAUCCGAGCGUUAUCCGGAUUUAUUGGGUUUAAAGGGAGCGUAGGUGGAUUGUUAAGUCAGUUGUGAAAGUUUGCGGCUCAACCGUAAAAUUGCAGUUGACACUGGCAGUCUUGAGUACAGUAGAGGUGGGCGGAAUGCGUGGUGUAGCGGUGAAAUGCUUAGAUAUCACGAAGAACUCCGAUUGCGAAGGCAGUUCACUGGACUGCAACUGACACUGAGGCUCGAAAGUGUGGGUAUCAAACAGGAUUAGAUACCCGAGUAGUC
RNAcentral lists this ribosomal RNA (460 nucleotides) under uncultured bacterium. Its description in RNAcentral is "partial 16S ribosomal RNA". It matches the Rfam family "Bacterial small subunit ribosomal RNA", at positions 338 to 795 of the family's 1533-position model. The record is from RNAcentral.